UAAAUAACCACUCAAGCCUUUCUGGUACACAUUACUGGACAUGAUUGAACAAAACAAUUGGUAAAAUUUUAACUUAUUUUUCUUUCUUAAUAUUGUCCAGUACCGUAUAAUCCAUUUAUCAUAGUAGUCACCAUUAUACCUAUGCUUGCUUAUCAUUGGCGUUCUAUAUCUCGAGCAUUUCAUACAAUACAUUGCUUGAUUUGCUUCUAUAAUGCAAAGUUUCUCGAUGCAGAAUCCAGGCUUCGACUUCUCACAGGCACAGUUCUCAGGCAGUUGCCCUGAUCCAAGGACCUUCAUGGGUGGGAUCCAUUCAACCUGAGAGUUCUUAGUCUUCAAAAUAAACUGUGCUGAUCACAGAACUGGGUUUAUUUACAUAAUCAAAGGUGUAAUAUGUAAUUGUUGCAGUGCGUAUUUUGAAACCUCUCGUUGUAUUAACAUUUCUUUUUCUUCAGUAUCUCGGUUAUGUGAGUAUCUGCUGGUCCUUGAACUUUAGCGAAAUUUCAUCUUAGCCUCCAUUGGAAAUAGUGUGUGAAUGGAAUUCGUAUGUUGAUAGAAGCAAAUAGUAGAAAAUUGGAUAGUAGUACUUGUGAGCUUAUUGGAAGGUAUGGUUGAAAAUAAAGUCCGACUAUGAUAUAUGAAUUUUCUAACAGAGGCUUAGUCACUUAAAAAUUUAAUUUGUUCUGAUUGAUCUUAAACUUUGUUUCAAGUUUGCUCUGUUCAUGUCUGUUAAUUUGACUAAGGUGGCC
RNAcentral lists this long non-coding RNA (746 nucleotides) under Olea europaea subsp. europaea. The record is from RNAcentral. Lineage: Eukaryota; Viridiplantae; Streptophyta; Magnoliopsida; Lamiales; Oleaceae.